Molecule: non-coding RNA, 1500 nt
Organism: Equus caballus (horse)
Lineage: Eukaryota; Metazoa; Chordata; Mammalia; Perissodactyla; Equidae
Source: RefSeq, a predicted model, not a curated record
AAUCAAGGUGUCAGUGGGGCUACAUGCCAUCUGGAGGCUCUAGGGAACAUUUUGUAGGUUGGUCUUACCUGGGCUCAUUCAUGUCUGCAUUCAGCUGGAGGCUCAGCUGGACUGGAAGAUCCAAGAUGGCUUCGGUCACAUGUCCAGCAGCUGGUGCUGGCUGUCAACUGGGAUAUCAGUUCUUCUCUGUGUGGCCUCCUAUGCUCCAGUAAGCUAGUCUGGCUUCCUUACAAGGCAGUCUUGGGGCCAUGUUUACAAAAUAAAACAUCAGUUUAACACAAGGAAGGUAAAGCAAAUGAUUCAUAGCCAAUGAUCACCUUGACAAGUUGUAAACUUCAGAGAACAAAAACACAAGGAAUUUGUGUUAAGUUCUCUUGCGUUCUUUUCCAUAAUAUUAAGGAUCAGCCACCCCAGAGUGGUAUCUAGGUGUGGAUGAGGCUUCUUAGGGGUAGUUCCUUAAGUACCGCAACUAAAAUACAGUACACUUCUUGAUCUGAAGACCUGUGAACUAAAGACAAGUUGUUUGCGAAUGUAACCACUCAGCAACAGGGCCGGCCCCCAUUUUUAGGAUUCUUCUUGAAGCUCUGAGAAGAGCUGUGGAAAUUUAUCAAUACUGUUUCUAAUAGUAUUAAGUAAGAAAAGAAGUUAUUGUGGCAAAAAUAUCUCAAACAGGAAACCUUAACCUUGAGGUCUGUGAACACCUGACAUUUGUGUAUUGGCUCAGUUACUGAGAAUGUUCACAGCUCUUCUCAGAGCUUCAAGAAGAAUCCUAAAAAUGGGGGCCGGCCCUGUUGCUGAGUGGUUACAUUCGCAAACAACUUGUCUUUAGUUCACAGGUCUUCAGAUCAAGAAGUGUACUGUAUUUUAGUUGCGGUACUUAAGGAACUACCCCUAAGAAGCCUCAUCCACACCUAGAUCUGAUUUGGAUGAUAGAUCUUGGGCUUUGAGCUGAUGCUAUAAUGGGAUAAAAUUUCUGGAAGACUUGGGAGGAGGUAAGUGUAGUUUGCAUGUGGGAGGGACAUGAAUCCUUGGGGGCCAGAGGUCAGACUUUGGUAGCCAGCUUCCAAGAUGACCUUCCAUUAUCUGUACCUCCUAAUAGUCACAUCCUGUGUAAUCCCUCCCAUGUUGUAUCAGAGUUGAUCUGUGUGAUCUAGGAAAUAUAGCAAAUGUGAUAGUAUGUGACUUCUGAGGCUACGUUAUAAAAGACACUGACUUCUGUCUGGGUUGCCUGCUUGUGCGUGCAUGUGUAUGCUCUCUCUCUCUUUUGAAUCACUUGCAGCAUUUCCUCCAGCCCCAGAGAAGCCUUUAGAUGACUACAACUUCUUGUCUGCAACCUCAUUAGAGACUCUGGCACCAGACCCACCCAAGUCAAGCUAUUCCUGAAUUCCUGAGCCUCAGAAACUAUGAGAUAAUUUUGUUCUUUUAAACCAUAAUAGAUAACUAAUAUACCAUUUAUCAUAAUCUUGUUUCUGCUGUCAUAUUAAAAUAACAAUAUUUGGA